This 239-nucleotide ribosomal RNA is filed under the name uncultured bacterium. RNAcentral describes it as "partial 16S ribosomal RNA". It matches the Rfam family "Bacterial small subunit ribosomal RNA", at positions 538 to 776 of the family's 1533-position model. The record is from RNAcentral.
GCGUUGUUCGGAAUUACUGGGCGUAAAGGGCGCGUAGGCGGCCCGCUAAGUCGAACGUGAAAUCCCCGAGCUCAACUCGGGAACUGCGUCCGAUACUGGCGGGCUUGAAUCCGGGAGAGGGAUGCGGAAUUCCAGGUGUAGCGGUGAAAUGCGUAGAUAUCUGGAGGAACACCGGUGGCGAAGGCGGCAUCCUGGACCGGCAUUGACGCUGAGGCGCGAAAGCUAGGGGAGCAAACGGG